This 642-nucleotide ribosomal RNA is filed under the name Pseudomonas marincola. RNAcentral's name for it is "bacterial SSU rRNA". It matches the Rfam family "Bacterial small subunit ribosomal RNA", at positions 61 to 692 of the family's 1533-position model. The record is from RNAcentral. Lineage: Bacteria; Pseudomonadati; Pseudomonadota; Gammaproteobacteria; Pseudomonadales; Pseudomonadaceae.
GUCGAGCGGUAACAGGAGGUAGCUUGCUACUUUGCUGACGAGCGGCGGACGGGUGAGUAAUGCCUAGGAAUCUGCCUAGUAGUGGGGGAUAACGUUCGGAAACGGACGCUAAUACCGCAUACGUCCUACGGGAGAAAGUGGGGGACCUUCGGGCCUCACGCUAUUAGAUGAGCCUAGGUCGGAUUAGCUAGUUGGUGAGGUAAUGGCUCACCAAGGCGACGAUCCGUAACUGGUCUGAGAGGAUGAUCAGUCACACUGGAACUGAGACACGGUCCAGACUCCUACGGGAGGCAGCAGUGGGGAAUAUUGGACAAUGGGCGAAAGCCUGAUCCAGCCAUGCCGCGUGUGUGAAGAAGGUCUUCGGAUUGUAAAGCACUUUAAGUUGGGAGGAAGGGCAGUAACUUAAUACGUUGCUGUUUUGACGUUACCGACAGAAUAAGCACCGGCUAACUCUGUGCCAGCAGCCGCGGUAAUACAGAGGGUGCAAGCGUUAAUCGGAAUUACUGGGCGUAAAGCGCGCGUAGGCGGUUUGUUAAGUUGGAUGUGAAAGCCCCGGGCUCAACCUGGGAACUGCAUCCAAAACUGGCAAGCUAGAGUACAGUAGAGGGUGGUGGAAUUUCCUGUGUAGCGGUGAAAUGCGUA